RNAcentral lists this ribosomal RNA (606 nucleotides) under Blautia wexlerae. Its description in RNAcentral is "bacterial SSU rRNA". It matches the Rfam family "Bacterial small subunit ribosomal RNA", at positions 935 to 1533 of the family's 1533-position model. Lineage: Bacteria; Bacillati; Bacillota; Clostridia; Lachnospirales; Lachnospiraceae. The record is from RNAcentral.
GAGCAUGUGGUUUAAUUCGAAGCAACGCGAAGAACCUUACCAAGUCUUGACAUCCGCCUGACCGAUCCUUAACCGGAUCUUUCCUUCGGGACAGGCGAGACAGGUGGUGCAUGGUUGUCGUCAGCUCGUGUCGUGAGAUGUUGGGUUAAGUCCCGCAACGAGCGCAACCCCUAUCCUCAGUAGCCAGCAUUUAAGGUGGGCACUCUGGGGAGACUGCCAGGGAUAACCUGGAGGAAGGCGGGGAUGACGUCAAAUCAUCAUGCCCCUUAUGAUUUGGGCUACACACGUGCUACAAUGGCGUAAACAAAGGGAAGCGAGAUUGUGAGAUGGAGCAAAUCCCAAAAAUAACGUCCCAGUUCGGACUGUAGUCUGCAACCCGACUACACGAAGCUGGAAUCGCUAGUAAUCGCGGAUCAGAAUGCCGCGGUGAAUACGUUCCCGGGUCUUGUACACACCGCCCGUCACACCAUGGGAGUCAGUAACGCCCGAAGUCAGUGACCUAACUGCAAAGAAGGAGCUGCCGAAGGCGGGACCGAUGACUGGGGUGAAGUCGUAACAAGGUAGCCGUAUCGGAAGGUGCGGCUGGAUCACCUCCUUUCUAAGGAA